GGUAGGCUACACAUGCAAGUCGAACGGCAGCACAGUAAGAGCUUGCUCUUAUGGGUGGCGAGUGGCGGACGGGUGAGGAAUACAUCGGAAUCUACUCUGUCGUGGGGGAUAACGUAGGGAAACUUACGCUAAUACCGCAUACGACCUACGGGUGAAAGCAGGGGAUCUUCGGACCUUGCGCGAUUGAAUGAGCCGAUGUCGGAUUAGCUAGUUGGCGGGGUAAAGGCCCACCAAGGCGACGAUCCGUAGCUGGUCUGAGAGGAUGAUCAGCCACACUGGAACUGAGACACGGUCCAGACUCCUACGGGAGGCAGCAGUGGGGAAUAUUGGACAAUGGGCGCAAGCCUGAUCCAGCCAUACCGCGUGGGUGAAGAAGGCCUUCGGGUUGUAAAGCCCUUUUGUUGGGAAAGAAAUCCAGCUGGCUAAUACCCGGUUGGGAUGAUGGUACCCAAAGAAUAAGCACCGGCUAACUUCGUGCCAGCAGCCGCGGUAAU
Molecule: ribosomal RNA, 494 nt
Filed under: uncultured bacterium
Lineage: Bacteria
Description: bacterial SSU rRNA
Rfam family: Bacterial small subunit ribosomal RNA
Source: RNAcentral